Molecule: small nucleolar RNA, 65 nt
Organism: Betta splendens (Siamese fighting fish)
Lineage: Eukaryota; Metazoa; Chordata; Actinopteri; Anabantiformes; Osphronemidae
Source: Ensembl
CUUCAUUGAUGAUGAAACUUAGCUCACUUUGACCCAAUGUGAAACGACACGAACAUCUGAGCAGC